RNAcentral lists this ribosomal RNA (844 nucleotides) under uncultured bacterium. RNAcentral's name for it is "bacterial SSU rRNA". It matches the Rfam family "Bacterial small subunit ribosomal RNA", at positions 8 to 881 of the family's 1533-position model. The record is from RNAcentral.
AGAGUUUGAUCCUGGCUCAGGAUGAACGCUGGCGGCGUGCCUAACACAUGCAAGUCGAGCGAUCUUCUUCGGAAGAGAGCGGCGGACGGGUGAGUAACGCGUGGGUAACCUGCCUCAUACACAUGGAUAACAUACCGAAAGGUAUGCUAAUACAAGAUGAUAUAAGAGAUUCGCAUGGAUUUCUUAUCAAAGCUCCGGCGGUAUGAGAUGGACCCGCGUCUGAUUAGCUAGUUGGUAAGGUAACGGCUUACCAAGGCGACGAUCAGUAGCCGACCUGAGAGGGUGAUCGGCCACAUUGGAACUGAGACACGGUCCAAACUCCUACGGGAGGCAGCAGUGGGGAAUAUUGCACAAUGGGCGAAAGCCUGAUGCAGCAACGCCGCGUGAGCGAUGAAGGCCUUCGGGUCGUAAAGCUUUGUCCUCAAGGAAGAUAAUGACGGUACUUGAGGAGGAAGCCCCGGCUAACUACGUGCCAGCAGCCGCGGUAAUACGUAGGGGGCUAGCGUUAUCCGGAUUUACUGGGCGUAAAGGGUGCGUAGGUGGUUUCUUAAGUCAGGAGUGAAAGGCUACGGCUCAACCGUAGUAAGCUCUUGAAACUGGGAAACUUGAGUGCAGGAGAGGAAAGUGGAAUUCCUAGUGUAGCGGUGAAAUGCGUAGAUAUUAGGAGGAACACCAGUAGCGAAGGCGGCUUUCUGGACUGUAACUGACACUGAGGCACGAAAGCGUGGGGAGCAAACAGGAUUAGAUACCCUGGUAGUCCACGCCGUAAACGAUGAGUACUAGGUGUCGGGGGUUACCCCCCUCGGUGCCGCAGCUAACGCAUUAAGUACUCCGCCUGGGGAGU